Molecule: long non-coding RNA, 254 nt
Organism: Lepidothrix coronata (blue-crowned manakin)
Lineage: Eukaryota; Metazoa; Chordata; Aves; Passeriformes; Pipridae
Exons: 2
Source: RefSeq, a predicted model, not a curated record
UGGCGAUGGCGGCGGUGUGGCGGGCGCUUUGCCGGGCCGGGCCGCGCGCGGGGAGGCGGAGACUGGUGAAUUCUCCUCUGCCAGUUGCUGUUCCUAAGCUUAGUUAUCACUUUGCAUCAUCUCACAAGUAUGUUCCCAGACGAGCUGUCCUGUAUGUACCUGCGGAUGAUGAAAAAAAGAUACGAAAAAUCCCUUCACUGAAUGUAGAUUGUGCAGUGCUGGACUGUGAAGAUGGUGUGGCUCUGAACAGAAAG